RNAcentral lists this ribosomal RNA (282 nucleotides) under Triticum aestivum (bread wheat). RNAcentral's name for it is "partial small subunit ribosomal RNA". Lineage: Eukaryota; Viridiplantae; Streptophyta; Magnoliopsida; Poales; Poaceae. The record is from RNAcentral.
AUGGAAGGGGAUACGUUCCAGGAAGAGGUCAAAUGCCUCAUGGAGGUGAAGCACAAAAACGUCGCACAGUUUCUAGGAUAUUGUGCCGACACACAAGGGAGAGUGGUUGACUUUGAGGGAAGAUUUGUAAUGGCAGAUGCACGACGUCAGUUCCUCUGUUUUAAGUAUCUACGCAAAGAUACAUACAGUGGAGUUGAAUGGAGAGAGCACUAUGAAAUAAUCAAGGAAAUUGCAAGGGUUUAUGGUACCUUCACCGUAAUCAUAUUGUUCACUUGGACCUAA